Long non-coding RNA from Homo sapiens (human), 1560 nucleotides. Lineage: Eukaryota; Metazoa; Chordata; Mammalia; Primates; Hominidae. The record is from Ensembl.
GCUGCUUUUUACUGUGACAGUGCAACACUGAAUUCCAAUGCAAAGUCACACAGUGAUUUUUCUUUUCAUUCCCCAAGUAUUCAGAUUCUCUCUUCAUGCCAUGUGGUGGCUGCCAGAGAGAAAAGUGGUGUCAGCAAUUCAAGACUGUGUUUCCUUACUCUCUUCAGUGUCUCCUUCCUUGAUAUGAUGCUAAAACCAGGUUCCAUUAAGUCCAGUUUGAUAACUGCAGUAUUCAAAACUUCCUUGUCUUUGCUAUGUUUUCAUCAGAGAGAGGUACUUUGGAAUGAUAUCAUCACAGGAGGAACAUGGAAGUUCUACAGCACAUCUCUUUGGAGAGUAUCUAGGCAUGGAGAUUUUAAUGACCCAGAGCAGUAGAAGACAGAGUUGAAUUAUUUCAUUGUCCUCAAACAUCAUGCAUAGGUGUCUACUGGAGACAUCACAUACCAAGUGGCUUUGCUUGAUCAAUGCCUGAAACCAGGACAUGCCAACCAGUAUUGCUCAACACUUGCAGGCAUGGAAAUGAGAUGAUGAGAGAUGGAUAACACCCACACACAGACUUUGGUUCUAUAUAAAACUUCAAGUGUUUAGAUUUGACUUCAGAGAAAAGAGUGUUGGGUUAAAUUAAGUCUCAGCCACUCCAGCAGCAAAGAGUUUUAAAUUUAUGGUAAGCCCUCUUCUACCUUAUCUAGCAGGUAUGAAGUCAAUGUAACUAAAAUUGUCACUUAUUUGUCUUGCUUCUCUUAGUCAUAGUGGGUAAGCAAUCACUUUCUUCCAUAUUUUUCUUCGAUACCUAUAGUAGCUAAAAAAAGGUAAGUUACUUUUGAUGGUUCAGUAAAUGACACUCAAAUUUACCCUGCCCACAUCUAUUCUGAAUGUCCCUGAUUCUGCUUCUCAAGAGAGUAUGGACUUGGCUGAGAAUCCGUAUUGAUGCUGCUUAGAUUCAUUAAAUUCACAGUAAUCUCUUCUCCAACCUUCAGAAGAUGCUCAAAAACCUGGCUGAUGAGGUCCUCCAAUUUCUAACAUUGUUAAUAGUCUACUCUAAACUACUUAAGAAUUCAACCAUAGCCAAUAAUUUUCCUUUAUUUGAGAGAAAUAAUAGCCCCAAAGGCUGGGUCUUUAAGAAGUUUUAAAUUACAUUUCUUCCUCUGAAUCUCUUGCAAGCUCUUGUGGCUGUACUCUGGCCCCAGGGGCUUUCAAAGAUUUUGCUUGUGACUCCACAGUAAGGUAUAUUCAAUAGAUACCAAAAAUAAUAAAAUUAUAAAACAGCAUCUUUACUAUGAGUGGUACACUCUAACAUUUUUCUUUUCUAUUCUAUUCCAUUCUAAUGAUUUUUAUAUCAUUUAAAAAUAUUGGUUAUGACUAGACUGACAAUAAUGAGUGUCUCCAGGAAAAUCCUGGCUUAUCUUUGUUAAUUCCACAUAAUUAUUUGUACCAUUUAUGUUUCUCUGUAAAAUGUUUCAUGUUGUAUAAUAAAUUAUUUGGUUAUCCCAGUUAAAAUUCACUAAAUUGAUUUCUCAGCAUACUAACAGUUGUAAUUCAAAUAUUUAGGUAUUUGUCUUC